Molecule: ribosomal RNA, 497 nt
Filed under: uncultured bacterium
Lineage: Bacteria
Description: partial 16S ribosomal RNA
Rfam family: Bacterial small subunit ribosomal RNA
Source: RNAcentral
GAUGAACGCUGGCGGCGUGCCUAAUACAUGCAAGUCGAGCGAACAGACGAGGAGCUUGCUCCUCUGACGUUAGCGGCGGACGGGUGAGUAACACGUGGAUAACCUACCUAUAAGACUGGGAUAACUUCGGGAAACCGGAGCUAAUACCGGAUAAUAUAUUGAACCGCAUGGUUCAAUAGUGAAAGACGGUUUUGCUGUCACUUAUAGAUGGAUCCGCGCCGCAUUAGCUAGUUGGUAAGGUAACGGCUUACCAAGGCGACGAUGCGUAGCCGAGCUGAGAGGGUGAUCGGCCACACUGGAACUGAGCCACGGUCCAGACUCCUACGGGAGGCAGCAGUAGGGAAUCUUCCGCAAUGGGCGAAAGCCUGACGGAGCAACGCCGCGUGAGUGAUGAAGGUCUUCGGAUCGUAAAACUCUGUUAUUAGGGAAGAACAAAUGUGUAAGUAACUAUGCACGUCUUGACGGUACCUAAUCAGAAAGCCACGGCUAACUACGUG